Molecule: ribosomal RNA, 432 nt
Filed under: uncultured bacterium
Lineage: Bacteria
Description: partial 16S ribosomal RNA
Rfam family: Bacterial small subunit ribosomal RNA
Source: RNAcentral
ACGAACGCUGGCGGCAUGCCUCACACAUGCAGGUCGAACGAGACCUUCGGGUCUAGUGGCGCACGGGUGCGUAACGCGUGGGAACCUGCCCUUAGGUUCGGAAUAACUCCCCGAAAGGGGUGCUAAUACCGGAUAAUGUCUUCGGACCAAAGAUUUAUCGCCUUUGGAUGGGCCCGCGUUGGAUUAGCUAGUUGGUAGGGUAAAAGCCUACCAAGGCGACGAUCCAUAGCUGGUCUGAGAGGAUGAUCAGCCACACUGGGACUGAGACACGGCCCAGACUCCUACGGGAGGCAGCAGUGGGGAAUAUUGGACAAUGGGCGAAAGCCUGAUCCAGCAAUGCCGCGUGAGUGAUGAAGGCCUUAGGGUUGUAAAGCUCUUUUACCCGGGAUGAUAAUGACAGUACCGGGAGAAUAAGCUCCGGCUAACUCCGUG